This 449-nucleotide ribosomal RNA is filed under the name uncultured bacterium. Its description in RNAcentral is "partial 16S ribosomal RNA". It matches the Rfam family "Bacterial small subunit ribosomal RNA", at positions 29 to 523 of the family's 1533-position model. The record is from RNAcentral.
AACGAACGCUGGCGGCAUGCCUAACACAUGCAAGUCGAACGAGAUCUUCGGGUCUAGUGGCGCACGGGUGCGUAACGCGUGGGAAUCUGCCCCUUGGUUCGGAAUAACAGAUGGAAACGACUGCUAAUACCGGAUGAUGACGAAAGUCCAAAGAUUUAUCGCCAGAGGAUGAGCCCGCGUAGGAUUAGCUCGUUGGGGUGGUAAAGGCGCACCAAGGCGACGAUCCUUAGCUGGUCUGAGAGGAUGAUCAGCCACACUGGGACUGAGACACGGCCCAGACUCGUACGGGAGGCAGCAUUGAGGAAAAUUGGACAAUGGGGGAAAGACUGAUCCAGCAAUGCCGCGUGAGUGAUGAAGGCCUUAGGGUUGUAAAGCACUUGUACCCGUGAUGAUAAUGUCAGUACCGGGAGAAUAACCUCCGGCUGACUCCGUGCCGGCAGCCGAGGUAA